GAUGAAGAGCGUAGCAAAAUGCGAUAAGUAAUGUGAAUUGCAGAAUUCAGUGAAUCAUCGAAUCUUUGAACGCACAUUGCGCCCGCCAGUAUUCUGGCGGGCAUGCCUGUUCGAGCGUCAUUUCAACCCUCAAGCACAGCUUGGUGUUGGGACUCGCGUUAAUUCGCGUUCCUCAAAUUGAUUGGCGGUCACGUCGAGCUUCCAUAGCGUAGUAGUAAAACCCUCGUUACUGGUAAUCGUCGCGGCCACGCCGUUAAACCCCAACUUCUGAAUGUUGACCUCGGAUCAGGUAGGAAUACCCGCUGAACUUAAGCAAAUCAAUAAGCGGAGGA
This 332-nucleotide unclassified non-coding RNA is filed under the name soil metagenome. RNAcentral describes it as "partial contains 5.8S ribosomal RNA, internal transcribed spacer 2, and large subunit ribosomal RNA". The stretch from base 1 to 120 matches the Rfam family "5.8S ribosomal RNA", at positions 35 to 154 of the family's 154-position model. The record is from RNAcentral.